AGAAAUGAUGUAGAGCACAGCUCCGCAGACAACAGCUAAGCAUCGUGGAAGUAUUAGCUGGCAGCGAUAAGGAGGCGGAAGCAGCGCUCGGUGACAGAGGAGCCAUCUGUCAGGAGCUGGGAAUCCGAUUUCAAGAGAGCAGAAAAUGAAGUACAGAAGAAAGUGAUUUUGGUUCAAAGGUACAGUGAAGCCCAAGGAUAUCUGUGGACAAAAUUGAAGCAAAGGAAGCGUGUGACUGGUUACGUGCAGCUGGAUUUCCCCAAUAUGCUCAGUUCUAUGAGGACUCCCAGUUUCCCAUUGACAUUGCUGCAGUAAAGAAAGAUCAUGAUUUUCUUGACAAGGACCUUGUAGAACCUCUUUGCAG
Molecule: long non-coding RNA, 364 nt
Organism: Fulmarus glacialis (Northern fulmar)
Lineage: Eukaryota; Metazoa; Chordata; Aves; Procellariiformes; Procellariidae
Exons: 3
Source: RefSeq, a predicted model, not a curated record